AUGUGGGCAAUUUGGUGGGCCAGGAGAAUGGUCAUCCAUGAGAAUGAAUUUCAGAGCCCACUUUCCACUAUGAGUUUUAUUAAGAGAUUUUUGGUGGAGCUAGACAUAGCUAAUUCGCACAGACCCAGGGCAAAUGAAGUACGAGUGAACCGACCGAGAGCAAAAGUGUGGCUACCGCCCCCUGGCGAGGCUGCAAAGUUAAACUGUGACGAGGGCCUGUCAACUUUAGGAGUCAAAGGAGCAGCGGGAGUUGUAUGCCGUGACAAAUUUGGCAAGUUUUUAGGUGCAUCUGCGAUGGUUUUUGAUGGCCUCACCGACCCGGCAAGUCUGGAGGCACAUGCAUGCAGCGAAGCACUAGCUCAAGCCCGAGAUUUGAAUCUAUAG
RNAcentral lists this ribosomal RNA (384 nucleotides) under Triticum aestivum (bread wheat). RNAcentral describes it as "partial small subunit ribosomal RNA". The record is from RNAcentral. Lineage: Eukaryota; Viridiplantae; Streptophyta; Magnoliopsida; Poales; Poaceae.